Molecule: long non-coding RNA, 2410 nt
Organism: Lagenorhynchus albirostris (white-beaked dolphin)
Lineage: Eukaryota; Metazoa; Chordata; Mammalia; Artiodactyla; Delphinidae
Exons: 2
Source: RefSeq, a predicted model, not a curated record
CCCUCCCUGCCUUGCACACCAGGCAGCACUGUACCUGGGCCGUCCUCGUCCUCCUCGGCUGCUCUGUGCCACUGGUCCAGCGAGGGUCCGGGCAGAGCCUCGGUCUGCUGCACCUUGGCCUUAUCCUUGUCCCUCUUCUUCAGCUUCUUUUUCCUUUUCUUCUUUUUCUUCCUCUUCUUGUCCUUGUGCUUCCCCCGCUUCUUCCGGCCAUCGCUGGAGGAAGAGCAGCUGGAAGAACUGGAAGGAGAGGAGGAGGGGCUGGAUCGUGGUCUCCUCCGGGCCUUGUGUUUGCUUCUCUCUGUGACGCAGGGAGAAGGUGAGGCUGGAAGGCCAGGAGGCGAAGAAGUAAACCUUCGUCCCCUUGCUCUGGCCUGUAGCAGGCUUAGGCUGACUACAGAGGGGUGAGACCCUCCUGGCAGGGCUUUCUAGAGGAGGGCUCUGCACCCUGUGGAGAGGCACUUUCUGGGCUGCGCAGUCACUGCCUAGGAGCAGGGCGGCCAGCCUCCGUAUCUCAAACCCAGCUGCACCAAAAAUAUGAUUAAGUGCUCCCUUCACUCCGUACUCAAUGGGCUGGCCCAGCCCCUGGAUUCUGAGCGUCUUUCAAUCCAGAUAUCCAGGAUCUACACUCGUGUGCCUCUGAAUAGCGCUCACCGCGAUUUCCCCACAGCCAGUCCGGAGAAGCCCGCCCAGCUGCCUGCAACUUCCUCCAUGAAGUUCCCUCACCCCUUUCCCAUUCCCUCUGGUUCUCACCCUCCGCCCCAGAGGAGGUGGUGCUGGCCUUGCGGCUUCGGGAUCUAGAAGCCGAGCAGCUUCUCGGGGCGUCCUUACUGCUCUUCUUCCUUUUCUUUUCCGACCCUCGCCCCCGGGACCGGCUGCGACUCCUCGAGCGCUUGCGAGAGCCGACGUGAGCCAUAGCGCCGCGGGCUGGAGACGGGGAGACGCGCUUAAACUGGGGAUUGAUCACAGGGCCGGCCCACAGACUGGGUUCCGAGGGCGGCUCUACUCGGGGCCUGGUCACCACCCGGGGCAGGGAUAUUGAGGGGAUCCGUGCAACCGCACGAUCCUCGGCCACCCCCACCCCUGGGUACCCCGGGUUCUCCGCGGACUCCCGGAUCCUCCGCUGCGGCCCCUUUAAGGGCCCGCCCCCGCCCGGACGCUCCACGCCUGCGCACGCGGCUCAGGCGCCUCUAGAAACGGCCACGAUCCUCAGCUGCCAGGUGCGUUCUUCAUUCCUUUCCGCGCGCUCGUACCCUCCACCCCGCGCCCUCCGCGGCCUCGCCGCCUGAAAGAAAGUCCCCGCGGCUGCUCCGCUUCCUCCUCAACUGCCCAUCCGGCCGGACCGCCAACCCCGCACCACGCCUUCGCGUGAGGAAGCGGCGGCUGGGCGACUUCCGGCCCGGGACGGUGCUCUGGAAGGCCGUCCGACCGCGAAGCAAGGCGCUGCUGUCUUUAGUUCUGAAGCCCCAGGUUCCGUCUCUGGGACAGCCCAAGAAACUGAGUCUGACGCACUGACCUCCCGGAGAGGCGAGCUGCGGCUCCAGGCGGAGCUCCCAGACGAGAGGCCUGCUCUCUAGCCUGGCGCCAGUCCCGGAGCCCACGGGUCCUUUGCCGCAGCUAUGCCCUCUCCCGUCACUGUCCUUUCGCCGCGCCCGCAGCAUCCCUAGUCUCCGUGAUGCCCCAGGGAAGAGGCGACUGCGCGCCGCUUUCCUCUCUGGAUUGUCUGCGAACGUGUCCACUGCGACGGGCCGUAAGCUCCAGAGCCUUGGUCUUUACACCGUCUCCACCCAGUAAUACAGAGGUCGCAAACUCAAAUGUCCAUAAGGACCAGAGAGAGCAUGACAAUGAAUGACGGAAAGACCCCUGUGAGAAAGUGCACUGCAGGCCCGUCUAGACUGGGGGCAGCUGAGACCGCUUCUGCUGAUUACUGCAGUGUCGAUUGGGGCCCGGUGUUUCCAGAUCUUCCCACCUUCCCACGGAAGCCAGAACUCAAGCUUUCAACAUGGAAAACCCUCCCAAACACAGCAUAGCUGCAGGCCUCAUUCAAUCCUGGGGCCGCCAAGUUGCAAACUCUUCAAUAGUAACGACAGCAGCAAACUCACAGAUGGGGAAACCGAGGCUUGGAGAAUGUCUGCAGCGCUGGGGAUACAUCUCACCAGACAAUGUCCCCACCUCCUCGGGCCCAUCGGGUGGAGCCUCACCCACCCCAUAGUUGUUCAUGGUGUUGGGUCUUCCCUUGGGCAUGUCUGACUGCUCGAAGUGGUCCAGCUCCUCCAGCAGGGCCUGGCAGAACGACGCUGUGAACACCGGCAGCCGGUAGAUACGCUUCUCCUCUGUGGAGGGAGGGACAGUCGGUUGGCCGGGAGCUCCGGUGUGGGUUUCAAUCUACCCAUAAACUUUUCACUUCCCCCAG